This 259-nucleotide ribosomal RNA is filed under the name uncultured bacterium. Its description in RNAcentral is "partial 16S ribosomal RNA". It matches the Rfam family "Bacterial small subunit ribosomal RNA", at positions 524 to 776 of the family's 1533-position model. The record is from RNAcentral.
UACGUAGGGUGCAAGCGUUGUCCGGAAUUAUUGGGCGUAAAGAGCUCGUAGGUGGCUUGUCACGUCUGCUGUGAAAACUCGGGGCUCAACCCCGAGCCUGCAGUGGAUACGGGCUAGCUAGAGUGCGGUAGGGGAGACUGGAAUUCCUGGUGUAAGCGGUGAAAUGCGCAGAUAAUCAGGAGGAACAGCCGGUGGCGAAGGCGGGUCUCCUGGGACCGAAUACUGACACUGAGGAGCGAAAGCGUGGGGAGCGAACAGG